AGUGAACGCUGGCGGUAGGCCUAACACAUGCAAGUCGAACGGCAGCACAGUAAGAGCUUGCUCUUACGGGUGGCGAGUGGCGGACGGGUGAGGAAUACAUCGGAAUCUACUUUUUCGUGGGGGAUAACGUAGGGAAACUUAUGCUAAUACCGCAUACGACCUACGGGUGAAAGCAGGGGAUCUUCGGACCUUGCGCGAUUGAAUGAGCCGAUGUCGGAUUAGCUAGUUGGCGGGGUAAAGGCCCACCAAGGCGACGAUCCGUAGCUGGUCUGAGAGGAUGAUCAGACACACUGGAACUGAGACACGGUCCAGACUCCUACGGGAGGAAGCAGUGGGGAAUAUUGGACAAUGGGCGCAAGCCUGAUCCAGCCAUACCGCGUGGGUGAAGAAGGCCUUCGGGUUGUAAAGCCCUUUUGUUGGGAAAGAAAAGCAGCAGGUUAAUACCCCGCUGUUCUGACGGUACCCAAAGAAUAAGCACCGGCUAACUUCGUG
Molecule: ribosomal RNA, 492 nt
Filed under: uncultured bacterium
Lineage: Bacteria
Description: partial 16S ribosomal RNA
Rfam family: Bacterial small subunit ribosomal RNA
Source: RNAcentral